UGAGGAAUAUUGGUCAAUGGACGCAAGUCUGAACCAGCCAUGCCGCGUGCAGGAAGACGGCUCUAUGAGUUGUAAACUGCUUUUGUACGAGGGUAAACUCGGGUACGUGUACCCGACUGAAAGUAUCGUACGAAUAAGGAUCGGCUAACUCCGUGCCAGCAGCCGCGGUAAUACGGAGGAUUCAAGCGUUAUCCGGAUGUAUUGGGUUUAAAGGGUGCGUAGGCGGUUCGAUAAGUUAGAGGUGAAAUUCCGGGGCUCAACCCCGGCACUGCCUCUGAUACUGUCGGGCUAGAGUACAGAUGCGGUAGGCGGAAUGUAUGGUGUAGCGGUGAAAUGCAUAGAGAUCAUACAGAACACCGAUUGCGAAGGCAGCUUACCAAACUGCAACUGACGUUGAGGCACGAAAGCGUGGGUAGCGAACAGG
RNAcentral lists this ribosomal RNA (424 nucleotides) under uncultured bacterium. Its description in RNAcentral is "bacterial SSU rRNA". It matches the Rfam family "Bacterial small subunit ribosomal RNA", at positions 355 to 776 of the family's 1533-position model. The record is from RNAcentral.